Long non-coding RNA from Bos taurus (domestic cattle), 325 nucleotides. NCBI's taxonomy places the organism in Eukaryota, Metazoa, Chordata, Mammalia, Artiodactyla, Bovidae. The record is from Ensembl.
GCUUCCCUUCCUCCCACUUCUCCCCGUGCAGAGUAACCAGUGUAGGGAGGAGGCCUGGAAGGGCAGCAACAGAAGAGAGCUGCUUUGUGAAGCUCCAGAAGCAACAGGAGGCUAAGAAGAAGCAAGGAAGAUUUUGCAGUUUAGGAUGGAAAAUGUGUUUUGAAAUAAGCCUGUCAACCACAUGUUGACACUUUCCAUGAGCACUUGCCGUCUACCUCUACACAGAUUAGAUCACGUGCUGCUGCAGCUGCUGACCUUCAACACUCCCUGAAGGAGCUCAUCUUCAUGGUGACAGCUAUUCCUCGUGACUAGCAGAGGUCACAAG